CUUCUGGAACGCGGGGCGCUUGGCGAUCUCCUCCCACCACGCCUUAACAUGGGGGCGGUCGUUGACGAGCCCAGCCUUGGGGGUCUUGGUGAGGUAGAGCAGGUAGGACGCGUGGUUGGCGUCGGCGAGCGUGAACUCGUCGCCGGCGAGGUACUUGUUGCUGGCGAGGUGCGCCUCGUAGACGUCGAGCACCUUGGCGAGCUCGUGCGCGUGCUUGUCCACCACCAAUGGGUCCGGGGCGCCGCCGAAGAGCGGCCUGAAGAGGAGCUGGAACACCAGCGGCGACGCGUUCGGGUAGAAGUGGUGCGACUCCACCUCCAGCCACACCUCGAGCUUCGCCGACGCCGUCGCCGGGAGCAGCGCCGCGCCCGACGACGCGUACUUGGUCGCGAUGUACCGGUUGAUGGCACGGGACUCUGCGGUGAAAUGUGCGCGCGGUCAGGUGAGGUGAAUAGAUCAGCUAGUUCAGCAGCAGGAUUUAGUGACUAGAUUUGACAUGGGCAUCCAUCCAUCAAGUUCAAGGUAAAAUAAGCCAGGUUCUCCAGACGAAAUCCAAGUGGUCAACACUCAACAGGGAUAAUGUUCAAUAUUUAAAAAUGGGGAGGAAAAACAAAAAGAUACUGUUCCUAGAUCUGGAUCUCGUUAUUCGAUUCAUAAUCAUAAUUAACCGGUACCAGGAAUUAUUAUGUCAGUAAAAAACAGAGUGGGUGAAUGGGGAGUUUACCGUAGAGGACUUCGUCUCCGUCGACGAGAGCCGGGAUCUGGCCGAAGGGCUGUUUGGAACAAGAACAAGAAGAAGAAGAAGCAAGAUGAUGAGGCACGCACAUAAAGCAAAACUAGUAGCGGAACGGAAGCAGGAAGGGGGAGGAGAGACGGACGUUGAGGGCGAGGAAGUCGGGCUGCUUGUGGGCGCCGGUGGUGAGGUCGACGGGGAUGAUCUCGAAUUCGAGGCCCUUCUCGUUGAGCACGGUGGCCACGCGCACCACGUUGGGCGACAGCGGCAUCCCGUACAGCUUCAGCGGCGCCAUCCUUUGCUGCUGCUUCCUUCCCCAAGUCGGUCGCCGGUCAGUGAGUCUCUCUCUCUCUCUCUCUCUCACGCGUCCACACUGCGAUUGGAUAGGAGUUGGAGUUGCCUUGCCCGUGCCCUCCCGUUCUUUAUAGCAGUUGAUGAAGAAGAAGACGACGAGUGAGGAGGUGGGCGGGGCCAGCGGCCAGCGAGGCGCGCCAUUCACUCGCCGGGGAAAAUGGAGAUGGGGAUUUUAAUUGCACCACCAUCACCGUAAUAAUAAAAUGGAUGGGGAUUUUUUUUUAACGCGAUGAACGAUUAUGACAUGUACAAGGCGUUACGGGCACUAUGACGGUGUCCAGAGAGAAAAAAAAAAUGGCGGACGUGUGGAGAAGCGACGAGCCGCGUGUGCCCGAGGAAGGAACUGGAUUGCAUCGGGGUCGUUGGGAAGGCG
Molecule: long non-coding RNA, 1460 nt
Filed under: Sorghum bicolor (sorghum)
Lineage: Eukaryota; Viridiplantae; Streptophyta; Magnoliopsida; Poales; Poaceae
Description: long non-coding RNA (SBIC_LNC005849)
Source: RNAcentral